UUCUAGCCCUGAUAGGAGCGGCAUCCUUUUACAUUUACACCCGACAAGUCAUAAUAAACUGUCGGGUGUAAAUGUAAAAGAUAGAGCGGAGAGCAGGAAAUAGC
This 104-nucleotide small RNA is filed under the name Flavobacterium terrigena. Its description in RNAcentral is "Flavo-1 RNA". It matches the Rfam family "Flavo-1 RNA". Lineage: Bacteria; Pseudomonadati; Bacteroidota; Flavobacteriia; Flavobacteriales; Flavobacteriaceae. The record is from RNAcentral.